UGGCGGUGAUUGGUUUAGGAUGGUUUUU
Molecule: non-coding RNA, 28 nt
Filed under: Rattus norvegicus (Norway rat)
Lineage: Eukaryota; Metazoa; Chordata; Mammalia; Rodentia; Muridae
Source: RNAcentral